UGGUGGUGGGGGGGGGGGGUGGAAUUGAAAAGGGAAAAGAAAAUGACAAGAGUGCUUGUGGAAACAAAGUUUUCCCCAGAUUUUCUGUGUGUGCUGUUAUGCCGUGUGACAAAGGAACAUUUUCAGAAAUGUGUUUUUAAAAGUACAUCUGCUGAUAGAAAGUUUAACUUGCUGGGUAAACCAGGUGUAGUGCUGCUUUGCAUCAUUAGAGCAGCAAAACACAGUCAGCCCAAAGUAAUGAAUGUGGACCAAGACUUCUAAAGUUAAUAUUCACUUUUCAAAAGCUCCCUCUCCCUGCACUUAUUUUUUUGUCCUCCUCCCCAGCUCAGCACAUUAAAGGAAGUUCUUUUCUGGAUCCAUCUAUUUAUAUAUUAAACUUUUAAAUCACUGCAUUACUAGACAUUAAUCAUCACAAGGACUAUAUUUUCUUUCUGGGCUUAGGCUCUCAUUGUGUGAUGGCUUUCCUUAACAGGAGCCUUCAAAAUAGGGAAGGGAAGAAACUGAAGCUGACAAAUAAGAAACAGUAGCAAAGUUGGUGAGACUACUAAUAAAUAUAAGACUUUGAGUUAAGCUGAUAAUUUACUCUAACAAGGUCUUGUAUGGCUAGAAAGGAGUAUUUUCCCUGAAAGGGUUCAGAGACUGUAAAAGCAUAUAGAAAGCAAUAGUAUGUUUUGCCCAUGAAUUUCUUGGUGAUUAUGAAAUGUUGAGCUUGACCACAGUGGAGCCUGCAUAUCAUUAUUUAACUACAGAAGAGAUACAACAGCCAGCAAAACUUCAGUUCACCCUGUACUACUCUGCCAAUGUACCUCCACUCUGAUCUUCAGACACCUCUGUGGAAUGAGAGCAUUCUUUGGUCAUGGCCCAUUCAGGCUCUGGCUUUUUUAUUGAGAGGGUGCUAAUUACUGCCACCUGGGGGGGGUGGUUUUAGUGACAUGGGCACUAAGUUACUGAGAAAACUGGACUCAGCUCUCCAAACUAAUUUUUACACAGUUCAUCCACAAGCUAUCAGAAAGCUACAUUCAAUCGCUGAGCCAGCUAUUCUCUCCCUCUUCCAUACAGUUCAGUUGUAGUUUAGACAGAAAGAACAGCAGUGUUGUCACCUAGCGUGUUUGUGGUUGCUCUGUGAGAUGAAAGUAACUGUGUCCCAGUUGUGAUGACUGUAUCUUCAUGUCAUGACACUGCAUCGGUGUAUGACUGAAUCAUGCCAUAGCUCCCAAAAGAGACAUGUGAGCCUCUAUUCCAUAUGGACAGGAGAAGAGUAAGACCCUAAAAUAUUGGAAUUGUCCCACAUUUACAGUGAUGGAUAGUGGAAACUCUUGUCAAGAGGGACUUGCAGAGGUGUGACAUUUAUUUAUUUGUAUUUGUGGUGGUAACAGCAUGAUUUUAAAAACAAAAUAAAAUUUGUGAAAAAUGGUAGACAAAUACGACUAGCGCUGUGUGAGAUGUGAUGUUAGGCUAAUUGUGGGAUGUGGGAAAUGCCCAUGAUCCGUUUUAGUAGAAUAAUCACUAUUAAAAUCAUUACAGUUUUUUUACCUUUUCCUUAAUGAACCUAACUCCUUGCAAAUGGGUAAUUAUGUAACUCUUAACUUGCAAACUGUAAAGGCUUUAAUGGCAACUGCUGUACGAGCAUGAUUCUGCCUGACUAGCACUUCACAGUGCUUCAGCCCUGUUCUCGCCAAAUGCUAUGGCUCAAUUCCCUCUUUAAAGAAUAUUUUCUCCCUGCUCUUAAAACAAAAAUUCCAAUAAAACUCCCCAGUUCUCAGCAGCGGCUAGUAGCUCUGCAGUCACUCUGAAUACUGAAGUAGUAGUUGUCUUGGCUAAGGUUUUCUUUCCCUGAAGCUUCCCUCCUUGAGCCUCUCUCUACUGUACACAGAGCAAGAAUGGCAACCCUCAGAGAACAGCUUGGGCGCCCUUCUAACCCCUGAUUGGCUGCCCACCUCAUGUAGUUCUCACUCCCCCUCAGCCUCUAACUGGAUGCCCAUAAAAAAGUUUUUCGUUCCCCUUCAGUUUAGCAACCUAGUGGGCUCUGUCUACAGGACUGGUUUCUCUGCAGAAAGUCAUUCAAUAUACUCAUUUAGAACACUU
Gopherus flavomarginatus (Mexican gopher tortoise) is the source of this 2085-nucleotide long non-coding RNA. RefSeq lists it as uncharacterized. The transcript is spliced from 2 exons. The record is from RefSeq and is a predicted model, not a curated record. NCBI's taxonomy places the organism in Eukaryota, Metazoa, Chordata, Testudines, Testudinidae.